RNAcentral lists this ribosomal RNA (460 nucleotides) under uncultured bacterium. RNAcentral describes it as "partial 16S ribosomal RNA". It matches the Rfam family "Bacterial small subunit ribosomal RNA", at positions 338 to 795 of the family's 1533-position model. The record is from RNAcentral.
CCUACGGGAGGCAGCAGUGAGGAAUAUUGGUCAAUGGACGAGAGUCUGAACCAGCCAAGUAGCGUGAAGGAUGACUGCCCGAUGGGUUGUAAACUGCUUUUAUAGGGGAAUAAAAUGUUACACGUGUGGGAUUUUGUAUGUACCAUAUGAAUAAGGAUCGGCUAACUCCGUGCCAGCAGCCGCGGUAAUACGGAGGAUCCGAGCGUUAUCCGGAUUUAUUGGGUUUAAAGGGAGCGUAGGUGGGUUGUUAAGUCAGUUGUGAAAGUUUGCGGCUCAACCGUAAAAUGGCAGUUGAAACUGGCAGUCUUGAGUACAGUAGAGGUGGGCGGAAUUCGUGGUGUAGCGGUGAAAUGCUUAGAUAUCACGAAGAACUCCGAUUGCGAAGGCAGUUCACUGGACUGCAACUGACACUGAGGCUCGAAAGUGUGGGUAUCAAACAGGAUUAGAUACCCCAGUAGUC